Molecule: unclassified non-coding RNA, 530 nt
Filed under: Hevea brasiliensis (rubber tree)
Lineage: Eukaryota; Viridiplantae; Streptophyta; Magnoliopsida; Malpighiales; Euphorbiaceae
Source: RNAcentral
UUAACAACUGCCAUUUGAGCUGUAGUGGCACAUCUAGCUGAAGGAAAAGAUUGAGCACACAAUAGAUCCAGUAAACUAUUCAGGAAGCAUCUAUAAUUCACAUGUUCCCCUACAGCCUGCUACUUGAAAUUGUGGCUUCACAGUAUUUCUCAUCACAUGAGCAUUUAAGGUAUUUUGGAAGACUGUUGUAACUAUAAUGCUUGUGUUACCUGCCCUGUGAGGAAAGAACCCUACUACUGUUUUGUUAUUUGCUUGGUCUAUAGGCUUGCCAGAUUUGCAAAUUGCAAUCACCCUCAUCUGAAGGUGGAAAGUAAAAGGGCAGUUAUUGGUGAUAUUUAGCUUGCUUUGCUUCAGAUAAGAGGCUGAGAAAGGGGACUACGAUGAGAAUGGCAACAAAUCUUUAACCCGGAAAUUAAAUUGAUCAGCAAUAAUUUUUUUUUAUCUCACAAGUUUUGACACUUCCUUUCCAGCAGACAAGUUAUUUAUUGUUCAAUUUCUCACUUUUGCAUUUCACACUUAAUGUACAAUUA